Molecule: long non-coding RNA, 6869 nt
Filed under: Equus caballus (horse)
Lineage: Eukaryota; Metazoa; Chordata; Mammalia; Perissodactyla; Equidae
Description: lncRNA (ENSECAG00000028754.2)
Source: RNAcentral
UGCUGGCCAGUAAAAUGGGGAUAACAGUUCUUACCUUGAGGAGCUACGGAGAGAACUGAAUGGAAUAUAGCUUGUGAAAUCAGUGCUAGUGGUUUUGUUAUUAUUAUUAUUGAUCAAGCACUGUCCCACACCCUGAGGUUAGAGAGAGUACCUCAGCUUGGCUCCUGCCCCCAUAGAGCUUCCGGUCUAGUGACUGGAGCUGGGUAAAGAGAAGAACGGAGGACUCCAGGGAGGCCACGGUUCUCCUAGAGCUGAGAGGAAGAGUGAAAGCUAGAUAAUCUACAGUCCGAUGAUUAUGGAAUGGAAGCCCAUACAAUAUGAAGAGGCCGAAGCCCCAACUGGAAACGACGGAGCGAUUUCCCCUGCUGCCAUCAGUCUCAAGAAUUUUUCCAGGUCAAGAAGUACAACGUAUUUAGAAACCGGACAUGUGGAGCGGAAGGAAGAAGAAAAUAAGAAAAAAACAAAAACAGGGCUCGUCCGGGAUUUGAACCCGGGACCUCUCGCACCCUAAGCGAGAAUCAUACCCCUAGACCAACGAGCCACUGCUGUAAGUGCCCCCUCGACUCUCUUUCUAAGGAGAUCCGGCGGCGCCAUGGAGCCUGCGCAGUUCAACCCUGGGCCUCUCUUGCACCUGCGUCCAGCGCCCGCAACAAGCUCAAGACUCCGCGUCCGCUCGAUACAACCCAGACGCCGAGAUUCUUUCUUUUGCCUGCGAGCUCUGCGUCCGGACGUGGGGACAACGCACCCAGCCGUCGUGCGCUAGGGAUAUGUGCCUGUCUGCAGACGGAGCUGCGGGUUUACACCGGGUCUCGGCGCUCGCGCUGGACCUCGGGAGGGUGCUGGCCGCGGGGUCCCCCCCGCGCCGCCUAGCCUUUGCGGAGCUCCCUACCGCGGUCUCACGCCGCCAGCAUCAGUACCAGCACUGUCGCGCAGCCCGGGCCUUGGGCUCCUGGACGUCUGGCUUUAUGCGAAGAUAACCGGAGUUGGCGAGGCUUCGGCCUGAAAUUUCAUCCGGGCUGGGUCAGGUGUGCAGAUUCCUUCGUUUAGCACCGAACUUGGGCGGAACUCCCGUCCUCGCCAGGGGGGCCUCCUAGCACGGGGCGUGCCUGGCACCUCUUCCCGCCCGUCGCCUCUGCGUCCCCGGGCCCAGGAUUCUACGCUCCCUGAGAGGCCUCUGUGCGCAGCAUGGAUUCCAGACCCCCCAAGAGAAACAGGGGUUCCCUGGAGCCCCUCCACCGUUUGUCUCCUCUGUGUCCCUGGGAAAUGUAGCCGGCGUGUUUGGGCUGCCCGCCCCGUGAAAUGGGGGUAUCAAGGUCUGCCCGCUCUCUUCCGGAGAGGGGGAGGGAGGGAGGAGGAGCUGCGGGGUCCCCACCAUCGCACGCACGCCCCUGAGAGGGAAAGGUUGGUGGCAGUGCUGGCCCCCAGUACACAUGCCACCAGCCGUCCAGCCGAUUCCAGCCAAUUUCCAUUGCUUGUCAUUCCUCACACACACACCCCUGACUUACGCUGGGGACACUGAGACAACAAGGCCCGGGAAGGACUUUUGCAAACCCCUUACAGCUGUGCCUGCGUCUUCGGGGUUCGCUGAGCCUCGCACUUCCUUAUUCCCAGGUCUGAGGAAGUGCGGGCAGGAAGAAAUAUCUCAAGCUGGUCUGCUGGAAGCGUUUGUAAAGCUUCUUUCACUCCACAGCGCGAUGUGCCUGGCGCCUGCUCUGCCCCAGCCCUGGGCUGGGCCUUGGGGACACUGAUGAGUCAGACCUGCCUCCCGAACCCCCUGCCCAGUGGCGGCCACAGUGGCUGCGCCCUCUGCCCAGCCCAGGGCUGUGGGCUGGUCUGCAGGACCUCAGUCUGGGCCUUGGCUGGCUGUGGUUGCUGCUGAAGGAGGCUGUGGCCUGGACGCAAACCGGGGACCUCACCUCCUCGGCCUAGGCCCUCCACACCCCCAGAAAGGCCUUCUUCCUGGACAGUCCACACUGCUGCAGGCCCUGCAGGGGCUUCCUAGGGGCCUUGGGCAUAAUGAUGAGCUCUUAGCCUGCCACUCUCAGCCCUGAGACCUGAACCCCCUGCCCACUGUCACCUCUCAGCAGGCCCCCUCACUCCAUCUUGAACACCCCAGGCCAUGGUUCCAUUCAAAGCUGCCAUUCCAUGGAGGGUGCCCCCGGCUUCCUGUAAAUUCCCAGCUUUGCCCUUUCUGCUCCAGCACGUCCUCCACAAGGCAGACCCAAACUGGGUCAGGGCCUCCUCUGGUGCCCUCAGCUCCUGCGUUCCCUGUCACCCUGGCUGCCUGACCCCUGCAUACAUCUGUGUCUCCACCAGUGGGGUGGAGGGAAAGGGUUCCCGAGGAAGGACACGGGCCAGGUCAGCAGAGGGCCGGGCCCAGAUGACCUGUGGAGAGGGUUUGUUAAAUGAGUGCUAUUUUGUCUCUUUUCUAAAAGCUGAAACCAAAGAAAAACGUCACAACAGCUCAAAGCCUGGUCGGAGUCAGAGGUUCGAGAACAGCUCGUUUGCCCUCUCAAUCGGCACAAAAUGCCUGUCAGCCACGAAACGUCCGAGGGGGCUUCUCUGGCCCCUCUGUGACAGCUGGGGCCCUUGGAGAUGACUUCACUGGACAGGGGUCAGGCAGAGCAGGAGGGGCCCAGGAGGAGGUGACAAGGCGACUUUCUAACCAAAAGGGCUUCCGGCUCAGAGGCCUCAGUGUGGACUAAGUAGGCCCAGGAAUGUCUCGGGGAGGCCAUAUAGAGGCCAGAGCAUGGGAGAUGGCCAGGGGCAGGUACCUGUGGGUGCAUCCCCCCAGAGUUUGCAGAGAGGCAAGGGGCAAGGGAUGGAGGGUGGUGGGGAGUGGUUGUCUUUGCUCCUGCUGAGCCAGCAGGUGGGAUAAUAGGCCCAUCAGGCCUGAAGGCCACUCCUCCAGGCAAAUCUGGGCUGCGACUGGGCUCUCUGAGUAGAUGGUGUGAUAUAAAUAUUUAGGCCCCACUAGCUGUUCACACCCUUCUCAGGGGGGACUCAAGACUUCACAGCUGCAGGGCUGUGAUUGAUACCAUGCUCCUGACAGCGGCCAAGCAGGGAGUCCUGGAGAGUCUUGGCCCUCAGAGCAGAAGGGAAGGGGCAGGGAGAGAGGGAGGAGGGGGAGGGCAGUCUCCGUCACUCACACCCUCAUUUAUCCUGUUCCUUCAGCCCACAGCCCUGCGCUGGGAGCUGCAGGAGGUACACAGAGUGAUAAGCUGAUUCCUAAGGCGCUCUGUGCAGCUAGCGUGCGGGUGCUCCAGGGAGAAGAGGAUGAGUGGGGAGAGAAUGGGAAGGCAGGGAGGAGAGCAGGGAGCCGGAGGUGAGAGCGAGGAGGGGCCAGGGAGAAUGAAAACCCAGGCUGUUGGUGGUUUCUUCUUUUUUUAAGAGCCACAAGCUGAGAUCAAAGGUGAUAUUUUUGCAGCAACUGAAAUAGAAAACCACUGCGCGCACAGUGGGAGGUGAGCGGCGGGAACACAGGCCCCUUUAUGCAGCCUGUGGCCACAGCAAGCACGCUGCCCUCUGCCGAGUGUCAUGGGGCGUAGGGGACAGUGUGGCCUCCAUCCUCCCAACUUAGGUCCCAGAAAGAAGUGAAGGGGGUGAGCUACAGCUCUCGGUGCUGGGAGAGGAGAAGGUGGGCAGUCAAGGAUCGUAUGAGCACCCCGCGCCUGGCACCUUCCGCCAAGAUCACCCUCGCCAUUCUUGCUGGAGGUGUGAGAUUGGAGCCAGGCCCUGGUCAUCCUCACAGAGCCCUGUGAGGAAGGGUCAUUGUCACCCCUGUUUUACGGAGGAGGAAACCAAGGCUGCAAGGGAAAAAUAAUUUGGUCAAGUCGCACAGGGAGUUGGGAGCAAAUUCAGGACUAGGAUCCCAGGACUCCUGGUCCAACACCCUGUCUGCUCUCUGUGCUCACUCACACACUCACGUGCUGAAUUAUUUAUUGCGCUUCUGCUAUUGCUGGUCCUAGCUGGCCCCGACAUAGCAGGGCCCACACUCAAGUCUACCAGGACACUGGUUCUCAAAGUGUGGUCGCAGGAUCAGCAGCAUCAGCCUCACCUGGGAACAUGCUAGAAAUGCAAAUUCUCAGGCCCCAACCCAGACUUACUGGACCAGAAACUCUGGGAGUAGACCCAGCCCUCCAUAUUUUAAUGAAUUCUCCAGGGGAUUCUGAUAUGCACUGAAGUUGAGGGUCACUGUACUGUGUUACCUCAGUUUCCACAGCUGUGCUUCAGGGAAAAUUACAACACCCAUCUCACAAGGUUGAGCCCAGUAUCAGCUAACACGUGUGCUGUGUGUGUGCCCUGCAUCCUUCUAGGCCCUUUACAGAUGUCAACUAAUUUAAUUUCACAACUCCGGGAGAUAGGAACUAAUAUUGUCCACAUUUCACAAAUGAGGACAUGAAGGCACAGAGAGGUAGAAUAACUCGCCCAGGGUCACACAGCUAGUAAGUGGCAGAGAUCCAAGCUCUUAACAGCUAACCAGCGGAAAGCCCCCAGCAGAGGGUCUGGCUCCCGGAAUGUGUUCCAGGCGUGGCUGAAGAUGUGAUGAUGGCAAUUACUAUUACCUCACCUGAAAUUGAGAUGAUGAUCCCCAUUUUGUAAAUGAGAAAUUGUCCACCUUGUCAAGAUGGAGGAGUGAGUCAGCUGCAAGGGCAGCCUCAGUGUCUGAAAGCCCAGUGCAGGCCACAGGCCCUCACCAUUCAUGCAGCUUCGAGACCACAAUAUAGCAUCUCGGUCUUCUGGAAACAUCCCAGUUUGCUGUAGGGAAGAGCUUGGGCUCUGACAGAGGUGGGCUGGAACCCUAAUUCUGCUACUCAGGGGCUGUGUGACCUUGGACAAGUUGCCUCACCUCUCUGAGCCACCUUUUUCUUCUCUGUAAAGUGGAUGAUGACAGUCCUAACCUUGCAGGUUCCUGCGAGGGUUGGAGAAGAUGACAUUUGUGCCCAGCCCAGAACAUGUACUGAGCUGGCCAUCAGCACGCAGCUUGUCCCUCUCUCCUCCCCCUCCCUGCUACUACCUCCAUGGAAAGACCAGCUCUGGGCCCAGAAAACAGUUGAAAGAAGAAGAAAUAAGUUCCCAAAUGAUCACAAUGCAUUUGUCCUCCAGCCUCCCUGCCCUUUUCCAGAUCUCCUUGCAAUAGCCGCCCGGGCUGGGGCUUCUGGGGGAACUCUGGCACCUGCUCCAUCCAAGUUGGGAGGUAAGUAAGCUACGAAGGGAAGAGGAGGUGUCCUCUGAGCCACCACCGCCGCCCGGGGGGCCGCCAUCAGCCAAGCCUCUGCACACCCGCCUGCUGCGAGGCAGUCUGGCCUGGACAUCUGAAGCUCGUUAGCGGCCUGCUCCCGGGGGGCUGACCCUGCUUGGCGAGAGUUAUCCCAGACACAGCCGCAGAGGAUGGAGCCAACGAAGACCAGCUGGUCCCUGAGGAACAAGCCUUGACAGCAGGUCCUGGAAGACAGCCUUAGACCGGAUUCUGGAAAGGCCUGGCGUCUCUUCCCGAACAGCAGAGCUUCCGCCCAAACGGAACUGCUUAAGUGCAGGAUACAGUAGGAAAUACUCCCCGCCAGGACUCGGGAGCCUGCACCCAGCCCUGCCUAGUUUGUGGAUCGACUCUGUGUGACCUUGGGCCAAUCCCUGCCCUCUCAGUUUCUUCCACUGUAGAAUGAAGACUUGGACUUGACCAAGUGGUUUCCCCGCAGCCUAUCUCAGUCUUUCAGCUUCUCUUGGUCCAGGGCCGUGCCCUCUCCUCCUAAGUAGACCAUACAAUUUAGAAUCAGAGGGCAGGGUUCAAGCUCCCCAAGGUCAUCACUCCCUAGCUGUGUGACCCUGGGCAGGGCACCACACCCCUCUGGGCUCUGCUCCCCCAUGGAAAGACAGAGUUCAGAGAGUGCUCACCCUCUGUGUCUGUGUCUCAGGGCUGCCAUAGGUCACAUGAGAGGUGGACCUCCAAGAUGUCUGGACGAUGCAGAGCGAGGUGUUCUACUGGCCUAUUAACUGCGAGUGCCCCCUGCCUGCCCAGCGCCCAGCUCUGUCCUGGCUCGGGGUCUGGCCCGGGCUUGCAGAUGCAGCCCCUGCCUGCCCGCAGACUAACAGAGCUCUGGCAGGAGGAGUGUGCGGACCCUGGGCCCAGCCCGCUGGAUGAAGUGUCAGUUACUUUGCCCAGGGGGCCUCAGGGCCCAUGACAUCAUGGACAGCACUUUCCAUGUUGGAGCUCACAGAACUAAGGCCAUUUUAAAAAAUAGCACUGCCUUUUUUCCUUUCUUUCUUUUUCCAUUUUGGCUAAGGCAUGGAAUGUGAAAGCUGCUAAAUUAUUGCAGGAAGGAGUAGAGGCUGGGUUCGUAGCUGACUCUGCUUUCUGGGGUCCUAAAAACAAUGGCAAACCCAGGAAGGCUGGCCCUUGCUUCCUCAUGCCCACCUCAACCCCACUGCAGGCUCCCCUGACAAGACCAAGGGGCGGGGGACAAUAAUGACCUGCCCCUGGUUCCCAGAUGACCUCUCUGGACCUCAGCUUGCCAUCUGUUGUGGACUGGAUGUUUGUGUCCCCCCAAAAUUCAUAUGUUGAUGCCCUACCCGCUAGUGUGAUGGUAUUUGGGUGGCGCCUUUGGGAGGUCAUAGGUUUAGAUGAGGUCAUGAGGGUGGGGCCCCCAUGAUGGGAUUAGUGUCUUUCCAAGAAGAGGAAGAGAGACUAGAGGUCUCUCUCUCUCCGUGUCUCUCUCUGCCAGGGCACAAAGAGGUCGUGUGAGCACACAGCAAGAUGGCGGCCCUCUACAAGCCGGGAAGAGGGCUGUCACCGAGACCCAAUCUGCCAGCACCUUGCUCUUGGACCUCCAGCCUCCAGAACUGUCAGAAAUAAAUGUCUGUUGUUCAAGCCA